AUUGAACGCUGGCGGCAAGCCUAACACAUGCAAGUCGAGCGGUAACAGGAAGAAGCUUGCUUCUUUGCUGACGAGUGGCGGACGGGUGAGUAAUGUCUGGGAAACUGCCUGAUGGAGGGGGAUAACUACUGGAAACGGUAGCUAAUACCGCAUAACGUCGCAAGACCAAAGAGGGGGACCUUCGGGCCUCUUGCCAUCGGAUGUGCCCAGAUGGGAUUAGCUAGUAGGUGGGGUAACGGCUCACCUAGGCGACGAUCCCUAGCUGGUCUGAGAGGAUGACCAGCCACACUGGAACUGAGACACGGUCCAGACUCCUACGGGAGGCAGCAGUGGGGAAUAUUGCACAAUGGGCGCAAGCCUGAUGCAGCCAUGCCGCGUGUAUGAAGAAGGCCUUCGGGUUGUAAAGUACUUUCAGCGGGGAGGAAGGGAGUAAAGUUAAUACCUUUGCUCAUUGACGUUACCCGCAGAAGAAGCACCGGCUAACUCCGUG
This 490-nucleotide ribosomal RNA is filed under the name uncultured bacterium. RNAcentral describes it as "partial 16S ribosomal RNA". It matches the Rfam family "Bacterial small subunit ribosomal RNA", at positions 30 to 507 of the family's 1533-position model. The record is from RNAcentral.